AUUCAAUUUAAAAUGACUUAAUGUUUUAAAUGUUGCGUGAAUUUGCGGAGCAAAUUCACGUUGUCAUGUUUGAGCCAUUGAAAAUUUAGACAUUUAUGUCAUUCAAUUAAAAUUUACAAAUUAAAAUUGGAAAUUCACAUCACGCUUCGCGUGAUGUGUCGGAGUAUACCUAGGGAAGUGAAACAUCUCAGUACCUAGUGGAAAAAAGAACAAUAGUUAUUCCGUAAGUAGCGGCGAGCGAAAACGGAGAAGCCCAAACUUUGCUGUUUACAGCAGGGGGUUGUAAGAUGAUAACGUUGCAUUUAUGCAAGAGAAGUUACAAAGUAUUGUGUUAGUGGAAUGCUCUGGGAAGAGCAGCCCUAGAGGGUAAUAGCCCUGUACACGAAAGCACAUUACCUUCUUUGUUAUUAUUCUUGAGUAGCUCCGGACACGAAUAGCCGGAGUGAAUCUACCGGAACUAACCGGUAAGGCUAAAUACUCUUAGAGAUCGAUAGUGAACAAGUACCGUGAGGGAAAGGUGAAAAGAACCCCGAGAGGGGAGUGAAAUAGAACUGAAACCAUAUGCUUACAAGGAGUCAGAGCGGGCAUCGUAUUGCAUACGAUGCCGUAGUUGGCAGUUAAUAGUUGGGAGUUGGUAGUAGCCCGCGCGCCGUUAGGCGCGCGGGUGCUACAAACUAAAAACUACAAACUAAAAACUACGGACAUCGUGCGUAGCACGAUGUCCGUCAUGGCGUGCCUAUUGAAGAAUGAGCCAACGAGUUUAUGUUAUUCCUAGUCUAAAGGGAGAACCCCUGGAGGCACAGCGAAAGCGAGUGUUAAUAGCGCGAAAUAUAUAGGUGUAGCAUAAGACCCGAAACUAAGUGAGCUUACCAUGAGCAGGGUGAACCUCGUCGAAAGGCGAGGGGAGGCCCGAACCGUCGCAUCGUACAACGUGCUCGGAUGACUUGUGGUAAGGAGUGAAAAGCUAAUCGAACUUAGUAAUAGCUGGUUCUCUCCGAAACAGCUUUAGGGUUGGCGUCGCAUGUUCCUUUUGGGGGUAGAGCACUGGAAAGUGUGAAUAGGGAGAAAUCUCGUCACUCUUAUCAAACUCCGAAUACCAAAAGUUAAAAGUGCGGCAGUUAGUCUGUGGGGGCGAAGCUCCAUUGGACAAAAGGGAAACAGCCCAGAUCGCCAGUUAAGGUCCCUAAAUCUACACUAAGUGCAAACGAGGAUGUGAAGUUUCAAAGACAGUGAGGAGGUUGGCUUAGAAGCAGCCACCCUUUAAAGAUAGCGUAACAGCUCACUCACUCAGAGACUCUGCGCCGAAGAUGAUCGGGGCUAAGUGUAGUACCGAAACUGCGGAUUGUAUUUAUAUUUAUAUUAGUACAGUGGUAGGAGAGCGUUCCAUUGGCUAUGAAGCAGAAGGGGUAACCCACUGUGGAGCAUAUGGAAGUGAUAAUGUUGGCACGAGUAACCGCAUUGUGGGUGAGAUUCCCACACGCCGAAAUACCAAGGUUUCCGUGGCUAUGAAGAUCAGCCGCGGGUUAGUCGGGCCUAAGCCGAUCCCGAACGGGGGAGGCGAUGGACAUACGGUUAAUAUUCCGUAACUCGCGCUUAUUGCGAUGGGGUGACGGGGGAGACAAGUACGAGCGUCUUAUUAGAUUGAUGUUGUUUAUUAUAAGCAUGGUACCUUAGGUAAAUCCGGGGUGCAUAUACAUGCGUUGAUAGACUAAAUUUUACACUUUGGUGUAGAAAAUUUGUAUGAAGAGCCCUCCAAGAAAAGCCUCUAAGCUUAAAUAAGUGUGAACCGUACCGCAAACCAACACAGGUGGUAGAGUCGAGAAGACUAAGGCGAACGGGUGAAAGUUCCUCAAGGAACUCGGCAAAACAGCGACCGUAACUUCGGGAUAAGGUCUGCCUAGUUGUAUCACAUUGUGUGUGAUAUGCGUUUUGUUGACAUGUAUACUUUCGUAUUUUAUGUAUAUAUGUAUAAAAAAUCGAGACGAAAAACAAAACUAGAACAUCGCGCAUAGCGUGAUAUGACUAGGCCGCAGCGAAAGAGCUCUGGCGACUGUUUACCAAAAACACAGCUCCCUGCGAACUCGUAAGAGGAUGUAUAGGGGGUGACGCCUGACCAAUGCCGGAAGGUUAAGCACGGACGGUGUAUAGAGUUUACUUUAUAUGCUUGGCUGUGUAAGCCUCGGUGAAUGUCGGCCGUAACUAUAACGGUCCUAAGGUAGCGUAAUUCCUUGUCUGGUAAUUUCAGACGUGCACGAAUGGCGUAACGACUGGAGCACUGUCUCGAGGAACUGCCCGGUGAAAAUACAAUUCCGGUAAAGAUGCCGGAUACCUGCAGCAGGACGGAAAGACCCCAGGAGCUUUACUACAGCUUGAUAUUGGCGUUGCGUGUGAAAUGCGUAGCAUAGAUGGGAGAUUUUGAAGCAGCCCUUUUGGGGGCUGUGGAGUCGUCAGUGAAAUACCAUCCUUUUUAUAUGCCUCGUCUAACCUGAAUGGGAAAAACAUUUUGGAACAGUAUCUGGUGGGUAGUUUUAGUGGGGCGCUAUCCUCCUAAAAAGUAACGGAGGAGUUCAAAGAUACCCUAGGCGCGGAUGGAAACCGUGCCGAUAGUGUAAUGGCAUAAGGGUGUUUGACUGUGAGGCGUACAUGCCAAACAGACGCGAAAGCGGGACAUAGUGAACCGACAGUCUGCUUUAGAUGCAGCUGGAGAUUAACGGAUAAAAGUUACCCUGGGGAUAACAGGCUGGUACCGCCUAAGAGUUCAUAUCGACGGCGGUGUUCGGCACCUCGAUGUCGGCUCACCUUAUCCUGGGGGUGGAGAAGCUCCCAAGGGUUUGGCUGUUCGCCAAUUAAAAAGGUACGCGAGCUGGGUUCAGACCGUUCAGUUGUUGUCUUUGACGAUAUUUGAACAGUCUGAGUCCCGAGGUAAAAGACAUAAAUUCACGGCGGCACAUACUAGUAAUAGUGUGAUGCUCAAGUUUGCUAUAUCGGUAAAAUCUUAACCAAUCAUAUCUUAGGAUAAUACCGAGGGAAGUCGUAUAUGUUAACGAAAUCAAAAAAUCUUAUUUAGCAGGAUUUCUUUAUUAUAAUUAUAUUGACCCCGUAGAGACUAAACGCAGACUCCCGUAAAGCGCAAAGCGCCACGGGAAAGAUAUAGUCCAAAUG
This 3162-nucleotide ribosomal RNA is filed under the name invertebrate metagenome. RNAcentral describes it as "bacterial LSU rRNA". It matches the Rfam family "Bacterial large subunit ribosomal RNA". The record is from RNAcentral.